UUUCACGACAGCCCUGGCUGUCCUCUUUGCUUCGUACUAUGUCUUCAAUAUAGAAUAUCCAGCUGAGGCAGCCACGUCUUUGGAGUUUAUCCAGAGAUUCUUUGUCAGGAUAAAUCCAGAAUACAGCAAGUGUACGGCAAAGACGCAGGUGAGCCGAAGGACGGGAAAGAUGGUCCAGAGGAAGAGCGAGUCCCUCAACUCCCACGUUGGUUCCUUCAUAAGAGACUUUAUCGAUUACGACUGGAAGAACUGAACUGAUCCAGGAAGAAGAGUUCCGGCCACGCCAGUGGGUAAGAGACCAGGCUACCCCCUGAUGUGUGUGCACCUGAGUUGCCAGCUAUGAUCAAAGCCAUCUGAACAGGCAUGUUAUU
Long non-coding RNA from Melanotaenia boesemani (Boeseman's rainbowfish), 371 nucleotides. RefSeq lists it as uncharacterized. The record is from RefSeq and is a predicted model, not a curated record. The transcript is spliced from 3 exons. NCBI's taxonomy places the organism in Eukaryota, Metazoa, Chordata, Actinopteri, Atheriniformes, Melanotaeniidae.